CCUACGGGAGGCAGCAGUGGGGAAUAUUGCACAAUGGGGGAAACCCUGAUGCAGCGACGCCGCGUGAGUGAAGAAGGAAUUCGUUAUGUAAAGCUCUAUCAGCAGGGAAGAAAAUGACGGUACCUGAGGAAGAAGCCCCGGCUAACUACGUGCCAGCAGCCGCGGUAAUGAGGAGGGGGCAAGCGUUAUCCGGAUUUACUGGGUGUAAAGGGAGCGUAGACGGCAGUGCAAGUCUGGAGUGAAAGGCGGGGGCUCAACCCGCGGACUGCGCUGGAAACUGUACGGCUGGAGUGCAGGAGAGGUAAGUGGAAUUCCUGGUGUAGCGGUGAAAUGCGUAGAUAUUAGGAGGAACCCCGGUGGCGAAGGCGGCUUACUGGACUGUAACUGACGUUGAGGCUCGAAAGCGUGGGGAGCAAACAGGAUUAGAUACCCCUGUAGUC
This 440-nucleotide ribosomal RNA is filed under the name uncultured bacterium. RNAcentral's name for it is "partial 16S ribosomal RNA". It matches the Rfam family "Bacterial small subunit ribosomal RNA", at positions 338 to 795 of the family's 1533-position model. The record is from RNAcentral.